GAUGAACGCUGGCGGCGUGCCUAACACAUGCAAGUCGAGCGUGAUUUAUGAGGACGAAACUUCGGUCUAGGAAUCAUAAUGAAAGCGGCGGACGGGUGAGUAACGCGUAGGCAACCUGCCCUUGACACAGGGAUAGCCUCGGGAAACCGGGAUUAAAACCUGAUGACGCCAAACAGUCACAUGGCUGUUUGGCCAAAGAUUUAUCGGUCAAGGAUGGGCCUGCGUCUGAUUAGUUUGUUGGUGGGGUAACGGCCUACCAAGACGACGAUCAGUAGCCGACCUGAGAGGGUGAUCGGCCACAUUGGAACUGAGACACGGUCCAAACUCCUACGGGAGGCAGCAGUGGGGAAUAUUGCACAAUGGGCGAAAGCCUGAUGCAGCAACGCCGCGUGAGCGAUGAAGGCCUUUGGGUCGUAAAGCUCUGUCCUUGGGGAAGAAACAAAUGACGGUACCCAAGGAGGAAGCCCCGGCUAACUACGUGCCAGCCGCCGCAGUAA
RNAcentral lists this ribosomal RNA (497 nucleotides) under uncultured bacterium. RNAcentral's name for it is "partial 16S ribosomal RNA". It matches the Rfam family "Bacterial small subunit ribosomal RNA", at positions 28 to 523 of the family's 1533-position model. The record is from RNAcentral.